RNAcentral lists this unclassified non-coding RNA (240 nucleotides) under soil metagenome. RNAcentral's name for it is "partial contains 5.8S ribosomal RNA, internal transcribed spacer 2, and large subunit ribosomal RNA". The record is from RNAcentral.
AACGGUCUAUACCUGCGGUACCUGCGGAAGGAUCAUUACAGGACUCGCAAGACUCCUACAACCCUGUGAACUUAACUAUAAGCACGUUGCUUCGGCGGGUGUCUCGGCGAGGGUUCUCCCUCCCCGGGGCGCUAAGCCCGCCGGCAGCCUACUAUACUCUGUCUCUUUGCGUUGGCAUCUCGAGUACAAACAAACAAGUUAAAACUUUUAACAAUGGAUCUCUAGAUCGGAAGAGCACAC